This 479-nucleotide ribosomal RNA is filed under the name uncultured bacterium. RNAcentral's name for it is "partial 16S ribosomal RNA". It matches the Rfam family "Bacterial small subunit ribosomal RNA", at positions 28 to 523 of the family's 1533-position model. The record is from RNAcentral.
GACGAACGCUGGCGGCGUGCUUAACACAUGCAAGUCGAGCGAUGAAGCUCCUUCGGGAGUGGAUUAGCGGCGGACGGGUGAGUAACACGUGGGUAACCUGCCUCAUAGAGGGGAAUAGCCUUUCGAAAGGAAGAUCAAUACCGCAUAAGCUUGUAGCUUCGCAUGAAGCAGCAAUUAAAGGAGUAAUCCGCUAUGAGAUGGACCCGCGUCGCAUUAGCUAGUUGGUGAGGUAACGGCUCACCAAGGCGACGAUGCGUAGCCGACCUGAGAGGGUGAUCGGCCACAUUGGGACUGAGACACGGCCCAGACUCCUACGGGAGGCAGCAGUGGGGAAUAUUGCACAAUGGGGGAAACCCUGAUGCAGCAACGCCGCGUGAGUGAUGACGGUCUUCGGAUUUGUAAAGCUCUGUCUUCAGGGACGAUAAUGACGGUACCUGAGGAGGAAGCCACGGCUAACUACGUGCCAGCAGCCGCAGUAA